UUUUCUGUAGCAAUACAGGAAACCGGCGCACGGCGCACGGGUGCGUAACACGUGGGUAACCUGCCCUCCAAAGGGGGAUAACCCCGCGAAAGCGGGGCUAAUACCGCAUGACAUUCCGAAAACCUCGGUUUUUGGAAUCAAAGCUCGAAAGGGCGUUGGAGGAGGGGCCCGCGGCCGAUUAGCUUGUUGGCGAGGUAAUGGCUCACCAAGGCUAUGAUCGGUAGCCGGUCUGAGAGGAUGGCCGGCCACACUGGAACUGAGACACGGUCCAGACUCCUACGGGAGGCAGCAGUGGGGAAUCUUGCGCAAUGGGCGAAAGCCUGACGCAGCGACGCCGCGUGGGGGAUGAAGCUUCUCGGAGUGUAAACCCCUUUCGACCCGGACGAAACGCCCGCAAGGGCUUGACGGUACGGGUAUAAGAAGCCCCGGCUAACUACGUGCCAGCAGCCGCGGUAAGACGUAGGGGGCCAGCGUUGCUCGGAAUUACUGGGCGUAAAGGGUUCGUAGGCGGUGCGGCAAGUCGGAAGUGAAAUCUCUGGGCUUAACUCAGGGGCUGCUCCCGAAACUGCCGUGCUUGAGUGCGGGAGAGGCGAGUGGAAUUGCAGGUGUAGCGGUGAAAUGCGUAGAUAUCUGCAGGAACACCCGUGGCGAAGGCGGCUCGCUGGACCGCAACUGACGCUGAGGAACGAAAGCUAGGGGAGCAAACAGGAUUAGAUACCCUGGUAGUCCUAGCCCUAAACGAUCAGGACUUGGGGUGCAUCCCGUUGGGGAUGCGUCCCGUAGCUAACGCGUUAAGUCCUGC
RNAcentral lists this ribosomal RNA (802 nucleotides) under uncultured Bacillota bacterium. RNAcentral's name for it is "bacterial SSU rRNA". It matches the Rfam family "Bacterial small subunit ribosomal RNA", at positions 70 to 870 of the family's 1533-position model. Lineage: Bacteria; Bacillati; Bacillota. The record is from RNAcentral.